UAAGUCAGAUGUGAAAGCCCGGGGCUCAACCUCGGAAUUGCAUUUGAAACUGGCAGACUAGAGUACUGUAGAGGGGGGUAGAAUUUCAGGUGUAGCGGUGAAAUGCGUAGAGAUCUGAAGGAAUACCGGUGGCGAAGGCGGCCCCCUGGACAGAUACUGACACUCAGAUGCGAAAGCGUGGGGAGCAAACAGGAUUAGAUACCCUGGUAGUCCACGCCGUAAACGAUGUCUACUUGGAGGUUGUGGCCUUGAGCCGUGGCUUUCGGAGCUAACGCGUUAAGUAGACCGCCUGGGGAGUACGGUCGCAAGAUUAAAACUCAAAUGAAUUGACGGGGGCCCGCACAAGCGGUGGAGCAUGUGGUUUAAUUCGAUGCAACGCGAAGAACCUUACCUACUCUUGACAUCCAGAGAACUUUCCAGAGAUGGAUUGGUGCCUUCGGGAACUCUGAGACAGGUGCUGCAUGGCUGUCGUCAGCUCGUGUUGUGAAAUGUUGGGUUAAGUCCCGCAACGAGCGCAACCCUUAUCCUUGUUUGCCAGCGAGUAAUGUCGGGAACUCCAGGGAGACUGCCGGUGAUAAACCGGAGGAAGGUGGGGACGACGUCAAGUCAUCAUGGCCCUUACGAGUAGGGCUACACACGUGCUACAAUGGCGCAUACAGAGGGCAGCCAACUUGCGAAAGUGAGCGAAUCCCAAAAAGUGCGUCGUAGUCCGGAUUGGAGUCUGCAACUCGACUCCAUGAAGUCGGAAUCGCUAGUAAUCGUGGAUCAGAAUGCCACGGUGAAUACGUUCCCGGGCCUUGUACACACCGCCCGUCACACCAUGGGAGUGGGCUGCAAAAGAAGUAGGUAGUUUAACCUUCGGGGGGACGCUUACCACUUUGUGGUUCAUGACUGGGGUGAAGUCGUAACAAGGUAGCGCUAGGGGAACCUGGCGCUGGAUCACCUCCUUA
Molecule: ribosomal RNA, 950 nt
Filed under: Vibrio parahaemolyticus
Lineage: Bacteria; Pseudomonadati; Pseudomonadota; Gammaproteobacteria; Vibrionales; Vibrionaceae
Description: bacterial SSU rRNA
Rfam family: Bacterial small subunit ribosomal RNA
Source: RNAcentral